CCCUUAGAUGUCCUGGGCCGCACGUGUGCUACACUGAUGCAUACAGCGAGUACUUUCCAGCUCCGCGAGGCAGCUGGUAAUCAGCAAUAUGCAUCGUGCUGGGGAUAGAUCUUUGGAAUUAUAGAUCUUGAACGAGGAAUUCCUAGUAAGCGCAAGUCAUUAGCUUGCGCUGAUUAAGUCCCUGCCCUUUGUACACACCGCCCGUCGCUCCUACCGAUUUCGAGUGAUUCGGUGAACCUUUUGGACAGCGUCUGUCCUCGUGUCAGAUGCUGAAAGUCAAGUAAACCAUAUCACUUAGAGGAAGGAGAAGUCGUAACA
Molecule: ribosomal RNA, 318 nt
Filed under: uncultured eukaryote
Lineage: Eukaryota
Description: partial 18S ribosomal RNA
Rfam family: Eukaryotic small subunit ribosomal RNA
Source: RNAcentral